This 722-nucleotide ribosomal RNA is filed under the name uncultured Fusobacterium sp. Its description in RNAcentral is "bacterial SSU rRNA". It matches the Rfam family "Bacterial small subunit ribosomal RNA", at positions 28 to 776 of the family's 1533-position model. Lineage: Bacteria; Fusobacteriati; Fusobacteriota; Fusobacteriia; Fusobacteriales; Fusobacteriaceae. The record is from RNAcentral.
GAUGAACGCUGACAGAAUGCUUAACACAUGCAAGUCAACUUGAACUUCGGUUUGGGUGGCGGACGGGUGAGUAACGCGUAAAGAACUUGCCUCACAGAUAGGGACAACAUUUGGAAACGAAUGCUAAUACCUGAUAUUAUGAUUUUAGGGCAUCCUAGGAUUAUGAAAGCUAUAUGCGCUGUGAGAGAGCUUUGCGUCCCAUUAGCUAGUUGGAGAGGUAACGGCUCACCAAGGCGAUGAUGGGUAGCCGGCCUGAGAGGGUGAUCGGCCACAAGGGGACUGAGACACGGCCCUUACUCCUACGGGAGGCAGCAGUGGGGAAUAUUGGACAAUGGACCAAGAGUCUGAUCCAGCAAUUCUGUGUGCACGAUGAAGUUUUUCGGAAUGUAAAGUGCUUUCAGUUGGGAAGAAAAAAAUGACGGUACCAACAGAAGAAGCGACGGCUAAAUACGUGCCAGCAGCCGCGGUAAUACGUAUGUCACAAGCGUUAUCCGGAUUUAUUGGGCGUAAAGCGCGUCUAGGUGGUUAUAUAAGUCUGAUGUGAAAAUGCAGGGCUCAACUCUGUAUUGCGUUGGAAACUGUGUAACUAGAGUACUGGAGAGGUAAGCGGAACUACAAGUGUAGAGGUGAAAUUCGUAGAUAUUUGUAGGAAUGCCGAUGGGGAAGCCAGCUUACUGGACAGAUACUGACGCUGAAGCGCGAAAGCGUGGGUAGCAAACAGG